AGACUGAUAAGUUAAUUUAAACUGAGGGGUUCAUGUCCCCUUAAUACACUUUUGUGUUUAGUCGA
Molecule: transfer RNA, 65 nt
Filed under: Drepanidotaenia lanceolata
Lineage: Eukaryota; Metazoa; Platyhelminthes; Cestoda; Cyclophyllidea; Hymenolepididae
Description: tRNA-Met
Source: RNAcentral